GCCUAUAUGAAGUCGGAAUUGCUGUAAUCGCAGAUCAGCAUGCUGCGGUGAAUACGUUCCCGGGCCUUGUACACACCGCCCGUCACACCAUGAGAGUCGAUAACACCCGAAGCCUGUAGUCUAACCAUAAGGGGGACGCAGUCGAAGGUGGGAUUGAUAAUUAGGGUGAAGUCGUAACAAGGUAGC
RNAcentral lists this ribosomal RNA (186 nucleotides) under uncultured bacterium. RNAcentral's name for it is "partial 16S ribosomal RNA". It matches the Rfam family "Bacterial small subunit ribosomal RNA", at positions 1314 to 1500 of the family's 1533-position model. The record is from RNAcentral.